Molecule: ribosomal RNA, 484 nt
Filed under: uncultured bacterium
Lineage: Bacteria
Description: partial 16S ribosomal RNA
Rfam family: Bacterial small subunit ribosomal RNA
Source: RNAcentral
AUUGAACGCUGGCGGCAGGCCUAACACAUGCAAGUCGAGCGGAUGAAGGGAGCUUGCUCCUGGAUUCAGCGGCGGACGGGUGAGUAAUGCCUAGGAAUCUGCCUGGUAGUGGGGGAUAACGUCCGGAAACGGGCGCUAAUACCGCAUACGUCCUGAGGGAGAAAGUGGGGGAUCUUCGGACCUCACGCUAUCAGAUGAGCCUAGGUCGGAUUAGCUAGUUGGUGGGGUAAAGGCCUACCAAGGCGACGAUCCGUAACUGGUCUGAGAGGAUGAUCAGUCACACUGGAACUGAGACACGGUCCAGACUCCUACGGGAGGCAGCAGUGGGGAAUAUUGGACAAUGGGCGAAAGCCUGAUCCAGCCGUGCCGCGUGUGUGAAGAAGGUCUUCGGAUUGUAAAGCACUUUAAGUUGGGAGGAAGGGCGGUAAGUUAAUACCUUGCUGUUUUGACGUUACCAACAGAAUAAGCACCGGCUAACUUCGUG